GGCAAUGCUGCGGCGUGUAUAGUCAUGCAGUCAUGGGGCCGCAAGGCACCGGCAGACGAGUAGUACACGUAGGUAGAUCCCCCAGAGUCGGGCAUAGCCAUCCGAAAGGAUGGGUAAUUCCCGAUGGUCCCGCAAGGGUAAAGAUUUAUCGCUUCGGGAGCGGCCUGCGCAGUAUCAGCUAGUUGGUAGGGUAACGGCCUACCAAGGCUAUGACGCUUAGGGGAGCUGAGAGGCUGACCCCCACCGAUGGAACUGAGAUACGGUCCUUACUCCUACGGGAGGCCGCAGUCGAGAAUCUUCCGCAAUGGACGAAAGUCUGACGGAGCGACGCCGCGUGGUGGAUGAAGUCCUUCGGGACGUAAACACCUUUUAUGAGGGAUGACAUUUCGACAGUACCUCAUGAAUAAGGGGCUCCUAACUCUGUGCCAGCAGGAGCGGUAAUACAGAGGCCCCAAGCAUUACCCGGAAUCACUGGGCGUAAAGGGUGUCAAGGCGGUUAUGUUAGUCGUUCGUAAAAUCUACGAGCUUAACUUGUAGGCGGCGAGCGAAACGGCAUAACUAGAGGUUGGGAGAGGUGCAUGGAACUCAUGGUGUAGGGGUGAAAUCCGUUGA
RNAcentral lists this ribosomal RNA (612 nucleotides) under uncultured bacterium. Its description in RNAcentral is "bacterial SSU rRNA". It matches the Rfam family "Bacterial small subunit ribosomal RNA", at positions 29 to 694 of the family's 1533-position model. The record is from RNAcentral.